Molecule: ribosomal RNA, 492 nt
Filed under: uncultured bacterium
Lineage: Bacteria
Description: partial 16S ribosomal RNA
Rfam family: Bacterial small subunit ribosomal RNA
Source: RNAcentral
AAUGAACGCUGGCGGCGUGCCUAACACAUGCAAGUCGAACGGCAAGACAGUGAGAUUUUGCUCUUAACGGUGGCGGGUCGCGGGCGUGUGACGUGUGUAUCCCCUUCUUGUUUUUCGGGGAAGAUAACGUAAAAAAGGUUACUAUACUACCGCAUACCAUGUACCGGAGAGGGCAUUGGAUAUUGGCGGCUUUUGGGUCUGGAAUAGCGGAGUUCGGAUUAGCUUGUUGGGUGGGUAAAGGCCUACCAAGGCGAGGAUACGUAGCUUGACUGAGAGGAUGAUAGGCCACACUGGAACUGAGACACGGUCCAGACUCCUACGGGAGGCAGCAGUGGGGAAUAUUGGGCAAUGGGCGCAAGCCUGAUCCAGCCAUGCCGCGUGUGUGAAGAAGGCCUUCGGGUUGUAAAGCCCUGUUGUUGGGGAAGAACAGCUGUCGGCUAAUACCCAGCGGUUGUGACGGUACCUAAUGAAUAAGCACCGGCUAACUACGUG